RNAcentral lists this ribosomal RNA (249 nucleotides) under uncultured bacterium. RNAcentral describes it as "partial 16S ribosomal RNA". It matches the Rfam family "Bacterial small subunit ribosomal RNA", at positions 524 to 776 of the family's 1533-position model. The record is from RNAcentral.
UACGAAGGGGGCUAGCGUUGCUCGGAAUCACUGGGCGUAAAGGGUGCGUAGGCGGGUUUUUAAGUCAGGGGUGAAAUCCUGAGCUCAACUCCAGAACUGCCUUUGAUACUGAAGAUCUUGAGUUCGGGAGAGGUGAGUGAACUGCGAGUGUAGAGGUGAAAUUCGUAGAUAUUCGCAAGAACACCAGUGGCGAAGGCGGCUCACUGGCCCGAUACUGACGCUGAGGCACGAAAGCGUGGGAGCAACAGG